Non-coding RNA from Rattus norvegicus (Norway rat), 69 nucleotides. Lineage: Eukaryota; Metazoa; Chordata; Mammalia; Rodentia; Muridae. The record is from Rfam.
GGGGAUUUGGCUCAAUGGUAGAGCACUUGCCUAGCAAGCGCAAGGCCCUGGGUUCGGUCCCCAGCUCCG